GGUAUCGCCGUUAGUCAUGUGCAAAUAUGGAUAGCUGUUUUAGCCGUCUUUAUUGACUGGUUUAUAAGAGUUAUCAGAUAUCACUUUGAUUAAAUUAGAGUGCUUAAAGCAAGUGUGUUACUUGGAUAUAAAUGCAUGGAAUGAUGGAAUAUGUUGUUAUUCUAUUUGUUGGUUUUUGAAUGAUAAAAUGAUUGAAAGGAACUGUUGGGGGCAUUCGUAUUGUUGUGAGAGAGGUGAAAUUCUUAGACCACAGCAAGACGAACUACUGCGAAAGCAUUUGCCAAGAAUGUUUUCAUUGAUCAAGAACGAAAGUUAGAGGUUCGAAGGCGAUCAGAUACCGCCCUAGUUCUAACCAUAAACUAUGCCAACCAGCAAUUUGCUUUGUAUUUUUUAUGACUAAGUGAGAGGCCACGGGAAACCUAAGUAGGGUUAUGGGGGAAGUAUGGUUGCAAAGCUGAAACUUAAAGGAAUUGACGGAAGGGCACCACCAGGAGUGGAGCCUGCGGCUUAAUUUGACUCAACACGGGAAAACUUACCUGGUCCUGACACUAGAAGGAUUGACAGAUUGAUAGCUCUUUCUUGAUUUGGUGGAUGGUGGUGCAUGGCCGUUCUUAGUUGGUGGAGUGAUUUGUCUGGUUAAUUCCGAUAACGAACGAGACUCUAGCCUAUUAAAUAAUACACGGAAUUUUAUCUUCCGCGGUAUUUCUUAGUGGGAUCAAGCG
RNAcentral lists this ribosomal RNA (722 nucleotides) under uncultured eukaryote. RNAcentral describes it as "SSU rRNA". It matches the Rfam family "Eukaryotic small subunit ribosomal RNA", at positions 672 to 1426 of the family's 1831-position model. The record is from RNAcentral.